CCCUAGCCCUGAUGGGAACGGCUUCCUUUUGCAAAAAUAGCUUUGGACUCGGAUGGAUUUUGCAAAAGAUAUAGUGGACAGCAGGUUCCCGG
Molecule: small RNA, 92 nt
Filed under: Epilithonimonas hominis
Lineage: Bacteria; Pseudomonadati; Bacteroidota; Flavobacteriia; Flavobacteriales; Weeksellaceae
Description: Chryseobacterium hominis Flavo-1 RNA
Rfam family: Flavo-1 RNA
Source: RNAcentral